UCAGAUUCCAGGUGCAAUAAUUCAACCACUUAUUUACUCAAGUUUUAUUUAUGUUGUCGUAGGUUUUAAUGAAAAUUAUGAGAACUUCUUAUUAUUUAUUACUCCGAUCAUAUUAAGUGCCUUUUCUGCAUCAGCUAUUGGUUAUUUAAUGUCAGCGGUUUUCGAAUCUGUUAAUGCGGCAUCAUUACUAUCUGUACCAAUAGAUUUUGUAACUCUAAUAUUCAGUGGUAUAUUUUUGCAAAUUGGGUAAGUUUGACAAAUGCUGAUUUAAAAUUUUAAUGUGACUUACAUCUACUGAAGUACCUGGCUACAAUUUUGCCAUCUUGUACUGAAAGUUAGAACCUUUCUUUGAGUAUCCGCAAUCAGUGGUAGAGCGAUUGUCGAUAAUUAAUCUAACUCGUGUAAUAGAAGUUGGUGGACUGCUCAAUAGUUUUGUAUUUAGAACAAUACUUUAAAAUAAAAAUGUUUCUACGCUUCUAUGGUUA
This is a long non-coding RNA of Nasonia vitripennis (jewel wasp), 485 nucleotides long. RefSeq lists it as uncharacterized. The transcript has 2 exons. The record is from RefSeq and is a predicted model, not a curated record. Lineage: Eukaryota; Metazoa; Arthropoda; Insecta; Hymenoptera; Pteromalidae.